AUUGAACGCUGGCGGCAUGCUUUACACAUGCAAGUCGGACGGCAGCACAGAGAAGCUUGCUUCUUGGGUGGCGAGUGGCGAACGGGUGAGUAACAUAUCGGAACGUACCGAGUAAUGGGGGAUAACUAAUCGAAAGAUUAGCUAAUACCGCAUAUUCUCUGAGGAGGAAAGCAGGGGACCUUCGGGCCUUGCGUUAUUCGAGCGGCCGAUAUCUGAUUAGCUAGUUGGUGGGGUAAAGGCCUACCAAGGCGACGAUCAGUAGCGGGUCUGAGAGGAUGAUCCGCCACACUGGGACUGAGACACGGCCCAG
RNAcentral lists this ribosomal RNA (310 nucleotides) under uncultured bacterium. Its description in RNAcentral is "bacterial SSU rRNA". It matches the Rfam family "Bacterial small subunit ribosomal RNA", at positions 30 to 334 of the family's 1533-position model. The record is from RNAcentral.